GGAAUUUUCCGCAAUGGGCGAAAGCCUGACGGAGCAACGCCGCGUGAGGGAUGAAGGCCUCUGGGCUGUAAACCUCUUUUAUCAAGGAAGAAGAUCUGACGGUACUUGACGAAUAAGCCACGGCUAAUUCCGUGCCAGCAGCCGCGGUAAUACGGGAGUGGCAAGCGUUAUCCGGAAUUAUUGGGCGUAAAGCGUCCGCAGGCGGCCCAGAAAGUCUGCUGUUAAAAAGUGGAGCUUAACUCCAUCAUGGCAGUGGAAACUUCUGGGCUAGAGUGUGGUAGGGGCAGAGGGAAUUCCCGGUGUAGCGGUGAAAUGCGUAGAUAUCGGGAAGAACACCAGUGGCGAAGGCGCUCUGCUGGGCCAUAACUGACGCUCAUGGACGAAAGCCAGGGGAGCGAAAGGGAUUAGAUACCCCAGUAGUC
RNAcentral lists this ribosomal RNA (422 nucleotides) under uncultured cyanobacterium. RNAcentral describes it as "bacterial SSU rRNA". It matches the Rfam family "Bacterial small subunit ribosomal RNA", at positions 358 to 795 of the family's 1533-position model. Lineage: Bacteria; Bacillati; Cyanobacteriota. The record is from RNAcentral.